ACAGAGGUCCCGAGCGUUGUUCGGAUUCACUGGGCGUAAAGGGUGCGCAGGUGGGUUGGCAAGUUCGAUGUGAAAGCCCCGGGCUUAACCCGGGAAAGGCAUUGAAAACUGCUGAUCUGGAGGAUUGGAGGGGGGACUGGAAUUCUUGGUGUAGCAGUGAAAUGCGUAGAUAUCAAGAGGAACACCAGUGGCGAAGGCGAGUCCCUGGACAAUACCUGACACUGAGGCACGAAAGCCGGGGGAGCAAACAGGA
This 253-nucleotide ribosomal RNA is filed under the name uncultured prokaryote. RNAcentral's name for it is "partial 16S ribosomal RNA". It matches the Rfam family "Bacterial small subunit ribosomal RNA", at positions 525 to 777 of the family's 1533-position model. The record is from RNAcentral.